Molecule: long non-coding RNA, 3388 nt
Organism: Vulpes vulpes (red fox)
Lineage: Eukaryota; Metazoa; Chordata; Mammalia; Carnivora; Canidae
Source: Ensembl
AUGGGAGUCCAUUACAAAACAAGCUGUGUUAUAAUGGGCUUCUACUGUCCUGGAUCGAUUUUCCUCCUUUCUGCAGGAAGGGAAGCCUGCCGGCUGGCUGGCAUUGGGACACUGCGAUCCUGCAGCCCCAUCCUGCAGCCCCAUCCUGCGGCCCCAUCCUGCAGCCCCAUCCUGCGGCCCCAUCCUGCGGCCCCAUCCUGCAGCCCAGCGCCCUGCCUCCCCCGCUGGCCUGUGCGCCUUCAGCUGCUCACUUCCCCAGCUGAAUUUGCCCUGGCAGCCCUGUGGAGCAGGUCGGAGAGGAGAGAUGGAAGGUGGGCAGCGUUCUCCGGAGGCUACUGCGUGAUGUGCGGGGUCUGCAUAGAUGAUGAUGAGCAAGUAACGGCUGGCAUCGACCGAGGGCCUUCUAAGUGGCAGCCAGCGCUCUGGGCUCUCGCAGACAUUACUGUCUAGUCUUCACAGCUGCCCUGCUUGGUCUAACACAGGUGAGGACACCCACUCGGAGGGGUAAAGGGAUGCCCAGGUUGGGGUUUGAACCUGGGGCCACGUGCUUUGUGUGGGUGCUCACCCAAAGGCAAGCGGCAGGGGGGGCGGGAGGAGGCCAGCAGGUCCGUGCCUUGGUCCUCCCCUCCCCCGAGAGGCAUCAGGGCCCCUCUCAGAGCUCCUUGCGCUUGCCUGCUGAGGCCUGAGCUGGGAGAGGAGCGGCCACCCCUGUCCCCGGCCACCAGCCGGCAGCGCUGCUCUCCUGGCAAGCGGAUGCUCAGCUGUGCCUCCCCCCACCCUGCCCCGGGCCCAGCGCCCACUCUCUGUCCCUCCUUGUCCAGGGCUCCCCACAGCUGCCGGCAGACCACACCUGUAGACACUCAACUAAGGCUUCUGGAAGGAACACAACGUUGCUCCCUACCCCCUUCUACGUCCCUGCUGUCCUUGGGCCUGAGCAGGGGGCACUUCCAGGCACGAUCCCCAGAAUUCCUGCAUUUCAGGUGUCCCUCCAACCGGCCCCUACCGUGGCCUCUCUAUACCCAGGCAGUUCUAUUACUGGAAAGGAGAUGGGGGUGAGGGCAGGACCUGCAGGGUGAGUAAUAGAUAAAGUCAUUUAAAAAAUGCCUGCAAAUGGUAAGCCUGUUAGCUGUUAUUCUUAUUAUAACUGGGCUCCAUGAAUGCAGAGCUUAGGGACUUUGGCACCAAUGACCAGGUUUAAAGAGGGACAUUCAUUAAGCACUGGAAGAGCUUUGUCAGAUCUUGACCAUCUUUUCUGUCCCUAAGAAGGGCUGCUUUUAUACCAGGUCAGAAAGAGCUCACUGUACUUCUCUUAAAGAACCCCCCCUCCUCCCCUCCCAUCCCCUGGCCCAGGGCUGCAGCUCUCUGUUCUGUCCUCCACCAAGUCCAAGGCUUGCUCACCUCCUGGACACUGUCCACCUGAGAGCUCUUUGAGCGCAUGCCCUGCCCCGCCCCCAUCCCCCCUCAAGAGCCCCAAGCUAGAAGGACCUGCCUCUUAGAUGCUGGGGCUGGGGCAGCAUUGAGGAGGCUGUGGUUGUGCUUGCAGGAGAAGCCUUGUAGGCGUGUGUGUGUGUGUGUGUGUACGCGCGCGCGCAGGCAUGCCCACAGUUGAGUGUGCACACAUGUGCAUGUCCACAUAUCAAGGGUGUGUGUUGGGGGCAGUGGUGGUGGUGUAGCCCCAGACCUGGCCUUCAUUCAGACCCAUUCGUGGGUCUUCCCUGUUUGUGCAGGAGAAAUGGGGCUCACCUGGUGAGGGAGGGUGAUGGAAGCAUUUCCUGGAAAGGCUCCUCGCUCGGGCUAGACAGUGGGGCUGUGUGUGCCCUGUCUCUCUCCCAGCCUCUCGUCCCCAUCAGCCAACCACCUGUGAGCCUUCUUCCUCCCUGGGCUGAAGUGUGUAGCAUGUGUGGGGAGCAGAUGGGGGAUGGUGUCCCUGGGCUUUUUCUCCCAGCUUCCCUCAGCCAACUAUUUGCUGCCAGAUGGAUCUGGGUGCCGAUGGGGCGUGCACAGGGAACGGCAGCCAGCUCCCAGCCACCCCAUGGCCUUGCCCAAUGAGGUGGGACACAGUUAUGUUCUGGAAGUUCGGGGAUCUGAGCAGGACCCAGACCAACAGGAACUGAGCCUGGUAAAGAGAACUCUCAGCCCUCCACGAGGAAAGCCUUCUGGAGUCACUCCCGCCUCCCCCCGCCUCCCCACGCUGGGCUCCACACUGUCUGCCCUCCCUGGGAAUCUUCAGCCCACCAACUCUGCUUGAGCACGGACUCCAGCCUCUUAUCCUUUUGCUGUUUUAUUUAUUGCACAAACACCACUGUAAGAGCAAUAACAUAAACCAAAGGAAAAAAUCUCCCUCUGUUUCAUGACCUUAACAGACAAGCUGUUCAAUUUUCUUUGUUCCCUUCCCUGUCCAUAUUACCUCCCUCCUCCCUCCACCGCACCCCACUCCACUCUUUGGCUUCCUUCCUUGCCAUAAGAGGAAAGGAGGGCAGGUUCCAGCACCUUCUGCAGCCUGCCGGGCUCUGCCCCCCUCACCUGGGGUAGGGGACGAGACAGGCCUGCAGCACAGAGGCUUGGGUGCCAUCGUUGGCUGGCUGCCUCUCAGGAGCUGAGCUGGACCGGCCUGCGCACCCUGGGCUUGGCAGCUCCUUGGCUGGCUCCCCCCAGGGGUCUGAGCACCCAGGCCCAGUUGGCUGCUCUAACUGGAAAGCUGGGGGCAGGCGGAAAGGGGACAGAAAUGCAACCUGAACACGGGCCAGAGUCGGGGAGACCAGGGAUCUGGGCUGGAUGGAUGACUAGCAAUUGUUUUGCUUUCUUGCCCUCGUCGCAGUCCUGCUCACUCCCCAAAGAGGAUAUUAAGAGCUGUUUUUCUGGGGAUGGUGUGAUUCAGUCAUUUCUAGCUCCCAGACUUCCCAAUCGAGGUAUGUGGACACUCUGAAUUACCUGUCAUCAGUGAGGAGGGGCUCUCGGCUUCAGGCUCCCAGGCUCCGGUCGCUCAGAGCCUUAUCCAGUGUGAGCCAUCAAGGCUUGACUCGGGGAGAAAAUCGUACCCAAGGUCUGGAGAAGGUGUAGCAGGGGAGGGCAGGCGUGGGUUAACUUCCCACUCUGACCAUUCGGGCUUGAGGCCUCCGACUUCUCAUCUGUUGAGUGGAAGGAAUGGCAGCCUGCCUGCAGACUUCACGGGGCAUCUGAGGGGUCAUCAGAGGGGAGGGGGUAUGUGUGAUCCCUGACUCCAGCCUUUCCACGGAGCCACCUCACCUGCCCACAGGCCAGCAUCCUAACCACUCUCACGCACGGCCAGGGAACUCUCUCCCCAGGGCUGGACCUCUUAGCCAAGAGCUUGAGUGGAGCUAGUGGGUUAAAGGGAGAGCGGAAUAAAGUCAAACCGUAGCCCGUAGCA